AACCAUAGAAACCUGCGGAGUACCUGCGGAAGGAUCAUUAUUAGUUAUUCGCUUUAAUUAGCGGGUCUUUCUAAAAAGAUCACACCUUGCUCAAACGUCUCACGUCUUUGGUAGUUCAGUGCUAGUCUGGCCGAAGUGCCCAGUUCAGCGCGUCCUUCUGCCUCUAUUGGGGGCUUUAGGGGGCUACCGCCGGGUUAAGCCCGGAUUUUAUAACACUUAAGUCUAUAACCCAUGACUGAA
This 240-nucleotide unclassified non-coding RNA is filed under the name soil metagenome. RNAcentral's name for it is "partial contains 5.8S ribosomal RNA, internal transcribed spacer 2, and large subunit ribosomal RNA". The record is from RNAcentral.